Molecule: transfer RNA, 73 nt
Filed under: Candidatus Parcubacteria bacterium
Lineage: Bacteria; Candidatus Parcubacteria
Description: tRNA-Thr
Rfam family: tRNA
About the family: Transfer RNA (tRNA) molecules are approximately 80 nucleotides in length.
Source: RNAcentral
GCCAGGGUAGCUCAGCUGGCAGAGCAACGGUUUUGUAAACCGUGGGUCAGGAGUUCGAAUCUCCUCCCUGGCU